UACGGGGGGAGCAAGCGUUGUUCGGAUUUACUGGGCGUAAAGGGCGCGUAGGCGGCGUAACAAGUCACUUGUGAAAUCUCCGGGCUUAACCCGGAGCGGCCAAGUGAUACUGUUGUGCUAGAGUGCGGAAGGGGCUACUGGAAUUCUCGGUGUAGCGGUGAAAUGCGUAGAUAUCGAGAGGAACACCUGCGGCGAAGGCGGGUUGCUGGGUUGAUACUGACGCUGAGGCGCGAAAGCCAGGGGAGCGAACGGG
This 253-nucleotide ribosomal RNA is filed under the name uncultured bacterium. Its description in RNAcentral is "partial 16S ribosomal RNA". It matches the Rfam family "Bacterial small subunit ribosomal RNA", at positions 524 to 776 of the family's 1533-position model. The record is from RNAcentral.